AAACAUCACCUCCUGCAAACCACAAUGUAUAGGAGGCCUCACCUGCCCAGUGACUACAAGUUAAACGGCCGCGGUAUUUUGACCGUGCAAAGGUAGCGCAAUCACUUGUCUUUUAAAUGAAGACCUGUAUGAAUGGUUAAACGAGGGCUUAACUGUCUCCCCCUUCAAGUCAAUGAAAUUGAUCUCUCCGUGCAGAAGCGGACAUAAAAAUACAAGACGAGAAGACCCUUUGGAGCUUAAGAUAUAAGAUCACCUAUGUCAAGAGACUUAAACAAACCUAAACCAAAUAGAACCUUGAUCCCUAUCUUCGGUUGGGGCGACCACGGGAGACAACAAAGCUCCCACGCGGAUUGGGGAACCUCCCUAAAACUAAGAGAGACAUCUCUAAGUCACAGAAUAUCUGACCAAAAGAUCCGGCCACCAAUGCCGAUCAACGGACCAAGUUACCCUAGGGAUAACAGCGCAAUCCCCUUUGAGAGUUCAUAUCGACAAGGGGGUUUACGACCUCGAUGUUGGAUCAGGACAUCCUAAUGGUGCAAGCCGCUAUUAAGGGUUCGUU
This 559-nucleotide ribosomal RNA is filed under the name Pseudostegophilus nemurus. RNAcentral describes it as "partial 16S ribosomal RNA". It matches the Rfam family "Bacterial large subunit ribosomal RNA", at positions 1811 to 2577 of the family's 2925-position model. Lineage: Eukaryota; Metazoa; Chordata; Actinopteri; Siluriformes; Trichomycteridae. The record is from RNAcentral.